GACGAACGCUGGCGGCGUGCUUAACACAUGCAAGUCGAGGGAGUCCACACCUUCGGGGGUGAGGCGACCGGCGGACGGGUGAGUAACACGUAAGUGAUUUAUCCUCAUGCGGGGGACAACCCGGGGAAACCCGAGCUAAUACCGCAUGGUCGGACUGGCUGCAUGGCCGGACCGGGAAAGGUGGCCUCUUCAUGAAAGCUACCGCGUGGGGAGAAGCUUGCGGGCUAUCAGCUAGUUGGUGAGGAACGGCUCACCAAGGCAACGACGGCUAGGGGGUC
This 278-nucleotide ribosomal RNA is filed under the name uncultured bacterium. RNAcentral describes it as "partial 16S ribosomal RNA". It matches the Rfam family "Bacterial small subunit ribosomal RNA", at positions 28 to 292 of the family's 1533-position model. The record is from RNAcentral.